RNAcentral lists this long non-coding RNA (1527 nucleotides) under Malus domestica (apple). Its description in RNAcentral is "long non-coding RNA (MDOM_LNC011804)". Lineage: Eukaryota; Viridiplantae; Streptophyta; Magnoliopsida; Rosales; Rosaceae. The record is from RNAcentral.
AAAGCCCAGGGAGAUGCAAAGAGCAAUAAAAAUCCGCGGUAACAAUGUUUUUCGAGGUAUACAAGGAUUUAGUUUCAAAGAUAUGGUCAUUUGCUUAUUGGGUCAUUUUUUAUACCUAGCUACGAAGGGGGUAUUAUAACAAUUUUUUUCUGUACAAUAAUUUGAUUAAAGUGUCUUAUGUAUAUAUAUAGUAAUUUGUUAAAGUACCUCUUAGUUAGAUAAGAAAGAGGUAUAUAAGGACUUUAGUUUUGUACCGUUUAGAUAACAUAUAUUUUUCUAGACUACCUGUUUCGUAUAUUGAUUUUUUGUUUGAUAAAAGUACUAAACAUAUGAGAAGUAUAUCCUUUCUUAUAAGACUAGUUUUCUAAUAGUACUCCUCUUCGAAAGUAUGUAAGAGGUUUUAUGUUUGAUAUUCGCCAAAGACGAAUUCGAACCAAAUUACUAUGAUUAGUGCAUUGUUGUGAUGUUUAGUCCAUUCAUUUAUACGACCUUGACUUCCCUUUGACCACUGACCACAUGAAUAAUCUGUGUAAUCCGUCCUUAGUAAUUGAGGAUUUUUCAAUUCAUAAAUAAUUGCCACAACUUCUACUUCAGCUUUCUCCCAGAGUAAAUCUGUAUGAAGGGCCUUGAUUCCCUGCAAAGCUAUCAGCUUCUGUAUGCGAGUCGGAGUCCGCCAUAGCUUGUGAAAGAUCUUGAUGAGAGCUAAAACAAGGAACAGACACAGAGCUUGAAAGGAUGAUCACUAGGCCUUCCAAAGUACUGAUUUUCGUAUCGUUUUCUCUCUGCAGGCAAUGUUACUGAACCUGUAGGAAAUGAGAGCUUUUAGAAUUCCACCGUCAUGUUAAGGUUGCUGCUCAUGUUGAAGUGUCGCAUAUUCUACUCCAUGAAUUUAUAAUUAUUAAUGAAUUUGGAUGCAUAUGGAUUUUUAAUUUUCAAGUCACCAUCUAACUUGUAGAUAUCAAUUGUAAAUUGUAAAUUUUUAUUACGUUCCCUAGGAAAACUUUGGAAGAGACUCUAAGAAAAGACUUAGAGUACUUGGAUUUAACGGAGAACAUGACACAGGACCGAGCCUAAUGGCGUUCUAGGAUUCAUAUAGCCGACCCCACUUAGUGGAAAAAGGUGACACGCCCCGACCCUGAUAUUCCCUGAAUACCAGGAUAGACAUGUGCUGGCCGACACCCGAGGGUGACGAAAGCCAUUAAUUGAUACAAAAGCUAAGGAUAAGAAGUAAAUAAAAGUUAGAAAUUUAAAAUACAAUAAAAUAAUAAUUUAGGAACGUGCUCAGGGCAUACAACUAAACCUAAUCACUAAAAAGAAUUAAGAUAAAAUUGAAUGAAUAAAGAAGUGGGUCCUACAUCAAGAGGAUUCAAAGAUGCUGCUGCGGAAGUGUCUUGACGUCAGGAUUAAGUGCCUUGAUCCUAAGUCCUGAAUGGGGGCGCAAAACAAAGGUGGGUGGACCAAGUUCAUAUAUAUACAUAAUAAUAAAACAGUUAUCAAAGUACUAACCCCCACAAUUUAUAUAAUGAA